This is a non-coding RNA of Salmo salar (Atlantic salmon), 54 nucleotides long. Lineage: Eukaryota; Metazoa; Chordata; Actinopteri; Salmoniformes; Salmonidae. The record is from Rfam.
UACAUUCACUACUGUAAGUCGCUCUGGAUAAGAGCGUCUGCUAAAUGACGUAAA